This 468-nucleotide ribosomal RNA is filed under the name uncultured bacterium. Its description in RNAcentral is "partial 16S ribosomal RNA". It matches the Rfam family "Bacterial small subunit ribosomal RNA", at positions 28 to 507 of the family's 1533-position model. The record is from RNAcentral.
GACGAACGCUGGCGGCGUGCUUAACACAUGCAAGUCGAACGGAAAGGCCCUGCUUUUGUGGGGUGCUCGAGUGGCGAACGGGUGAGUAACACGUGAGUAACCUGCCCUUGACUUUGGGAUAACUUCAGGAAACUGGGGCUAAUACCGGAUAGGAGCUCCUGCUGCAUGGUGGGGGUUGGAAAGUUCCGGCGGGUGGGGAUGGACUCGCGGCUUAUCAGCUUGUUGGUGGGGUAGUGGCUUACCAAGGCUUUGACGGGUAGCCGGCCUGAGAGGGUGACCGGCCACAUUGGGCCUGAGAUACGGCCCAGACUCCUACGGGAGGCAGCAGUGGGGAAUAUUGCACAAUGGGCGGAAGCCUGAUGCAGAGACGCCGCGUGCGGGAUGACGGCCUUCGGGUUGUAAACCGCUUUCGCCUGUGACGAAGCGUGAGUGACGGUAAUGAGUAAAGAAGCACCGGCUAACUACGUG